Molecule: ribosomal RNA, 180 nt
Filed under: uncultured bacterium
Lineage: Bacteria
Description: partial 16S ribosomal RNA
Rfam family: Bacterial small subunit ribosomal RNA
Source: RNAcentral
AGUCUGCAACUCGACUCCAUGAAGUCGGAAUCGCUAGUAAUCGUGGAUCAGAAUGCCACGGUGAAUACGUUCCCGGGCCUUGUACACACCGCCCGUCACACCAUGGGAGUGGGUUGCAAAGAAGUAGGUAGCUUAACCUUCGGGAGGGCGCUUACCACUUUGUGAUUCAUGACUUGGGGU